GAUGAACGCUGGCGGCGUGCCUAAUACAUGCAAGUCGAGCGAACAGAUGAGGAGCUUGCUCCUCUGACGUUAGCGGCGGACGGGUGAGUAACACGUGGAUAACCUACCUAUAAGACUGGGAUAACUUCGGGAAACCGGAGCUAAUACCGGAUAAUAUAUUUAACCGCAUGGUUCAAUAGUUAAAGACGGUUUUGCUGUCACUUAUAGAUUGAUCCGCGCCGCAUUAGCUAGUUGGUAAGGUAACGGCUUACCAAGGCAACGAUGCGUAGCCGACCUGAGAGGGUGAUCGGCCACACUGGAACGGAGACACGGUCCAGACUACUACGGGAGGCAGCAGUAGGGAAUCUUCCGCAAUGGGCGAAAGCGUGACGGAGCAAAGCCGCGUGAGUGAUGAAGGUCUUCGGAUCGUAAAACUCUGUUAUUAGGGAAGAACAAAUGUGUAAGUAAAUAUGCACGUAUUGACGGUACCUAAUCAGAAAGCCACGGCUAACUACGUG
RNAcentral lists this ribosomal RNA (497 nucleotides) under uncultured bacterium. RNAcentral's name for it is "partial 16S ribosomal RNA". It matches the Rfam family "Bacterial small subunit ribosomal RNA", at positions 28 to 507 of the family's 1533-position model. The record is from RNAcentral.